Molecule: ribosomal RNA, 321 nt
Filed under: uncultured bacterium
Lineage: Bacteria
Description: bacterial SSU rRNA
Rfam family: Bacterial small subunit ribosomal RNA
Source: RNAcentral
UGACGGUACCUGACUAAGAAGCCCCGGCUAAAUACGUGCCAGCAGCCGCGGUAAUACGUAUGGGGCAAGCGUUAUCCGGAUUUACUGGGUGUAAAGGGAGCGCAGGUGGCAAGGCAAGUCAGAAGUGAAAACCCGGGGCUCAACCCCGCGGAUUGCUUUUGAGACUGUUUAGCUAGAGUGCAGGAGGGGCAAGCGGAAUUCCUAGUGUAGCGGUGAAAUGCGUAGAUAUUAGGAAGAACACCGGUGGCGAAGGCGGCUUGCUGGACUGUAACUGACACUGAGGCUCGAAGGCGUGGGGAGCAAACAGGAUUAGAUACCCUG